This 301-nucleotide ribosomal RNA is filed under the name uncultured bacterium. RNAcentral's name for it is "partial 16S ribosomal RNA". It matches the Rfam family "Bacterial small subunit ribosomal RNA", at positions 509 to 809 of the family's 1533-position model. The record is from RNAcentral.
CAGUAGCCGCGGUAAUACGAAGGGGGCUAGCGUUGUUCGGAAUUACUGGGCGUAAAGCGCACGUAGGCGGAUAUUUAAGUCAGGGGUGAAAUCCCGCAGCUCAACUGCGGAACUGCCUUUGAUACUGGGCAUCUUGAGUAUGGAAGAGGUUAGUGGAAUUGCGAGUGUAGAGGUGAAAUUCGUAGAUAUUCGCAGGAACACCAGUGGCGAAGGCGGCUAACUGGUCCAUAACUGACGCUGAGGUGCGAAAGCGUGGGGAGCAAACAGGAUUAGAUACCCCCGUAGUCCCUGUCUCUUAUAA